Molecule: long non-coding RNA, 1939 nt
Organism: Brassica napus (rape)
Lineage: Eukaryota; Viridiplantae; Streptophyta; Magnoliopsida; Brassicales; Brassicaceae
Exons: 2
Source: RefSeq, a predicted model, not a curated record
AAAAUUUAACAACGACAAAUAUUUAAAUAAUUAACAUAUGGAAGUAUAGUAUUACAACAUUAAAUUAUAUCUAUUUAAUUUAUACUAUCUAUAAAUCCAAUAGAUCAUCUAUUGUUUAAAUCCACCACCACUUCUAUACUUAGAUAAACAAUUAUGUGUUUGCAAUGGUUUAUUAGAUAAAUUUCUAUCAAACAAGUUUAUAUUAUAUGGGCUUUACAUUAAAUAUUAAACAUAGUUUUUGAAGUUAUAUAAAAAUUUCACAUUUAUAAUUAAUAAUUUCACAUUUACAAUUAAUAAACAUAAACAUAAAUUAGAUAUGAAUGUAAUAGAUGAUAUCAAUACACCCUGUCUUAGUUUAAAUAAUAUUACAAUUCAUUUAAAUAUUUUAAUAAUUUUAUAAGUCAAUGUACAAAUUAAUUUUACUAAAAAUAAUUUUAAAGUUAAUUUCUUACUGUAUUUUUCAGUAAAAAAAUUAAUUAUUUCACAAUACUAACAUUUUGUAUAGACGAAAAAUUAACGUAAAACAUAAAAACAAAUGCUAACAAAAAUCAUUAAGACACUUGAUAUAUAUUUUAUGUAUAAACACAUUUGUUAUAAUAAUAAAUAUGUCAAAGAAAACAAACACGCGUUUUGAAAGUGCGGGUCAAAAUCUAGUUAAUUAUAUUUGAACUGAAUUCCUAUUUUACGUCAGGAAAAUAUACAUGUACUAUAUCAUGAAAGUGAAUCAACACAAUAAUAGCACAAGGUUUUCUCCAAUGAAUGACACAUCAGAUUUUUAGAAUCUUGUGAGACUGCCACGUCAAUAAAUAAAAAAAGUUGAAAGACCAAUAAAAACAUUUCAGUUGUACAUGUCAAUGUAUACCUAAGCUUCUCUAAUUUUCCAAUUGUGUUCGUCAUUAUGUUUAUAUCGUCACCGCAAAUACACAAAAACCCAUUGUCGUUAGAAUCAUGUUGUCCGUGUUAGGUUUUCACAAGACAAAGUGAGAAUCAAAUGGCUAUUUGCAGCUGAAAUAUUAUCCUGUUCAUGAUUGAAGAUGGAACUCGUGGGUUUUGUAGAUCCAGAAGGAUCAAUAUCUCUGGCAUUUGCUUCGUGUCCUGUUAUAGUUUUUGGUAAGGUGGUUGUUUUUAGAUUAACUACGUUAAUGAAAUCAUUAUAAGGUUCACGUACCAAAUAGUUACCAGAAGUCUGAGUCUAAAGGUGACUCCUUUAUUAGGUUUUUAUGUGAAAAAGAAUAUAUUUUGUUUGUGGUUGUGUUUUGGUUUUACAUUUAGUAUCAGUAAGGAUGAUGUCUAUUUGUGUGAGAAAGAUUUAGCUGUUAGGGAAAAGCUUUUGGCUUUGUAUCGGUUUAGCGAUUACUCUUCUUUUAAUUAAUAAGAUGAGUUUUUGCUUUACGGAGGAAAGUGACACACUGACUUUUGUUUAUGAAUUGUUGAACUUUUUACUCAACAAGAUAAUUGAUCAACAAGAUGUUAGUAAUCUAUAUGUUGCAUGACCUGAAACGUUUCUUGCUCCACCGAGAUGAUUUACCAGUAUGCGAUAGCAUCAAUUUCAUUAUUUUUGUUUCGAUAUCUGUGUUUAUGAACUGAAGGAUUCUAAUAAGCUUAACAUAUGUUCUUUGCUGCAACACAGAAGGUUCAGAAAAGAAUGAACAUGAGAACAUGGAGAUAUGUUAAUGAAUUAUUUUUGGUUUGAUAAGUUUAAUGAAUUGUUUCCAAAAUUAGUUGAUUCCUCUGCUGGCUCUUGCUGUGUAUUUUCUACUUUCUCAUUUGGCACCGGAGACCAGCAAUAGAUUAGUUUCAAGGAGUUGAAGAUGCUUCCUCUGAGCCCUGCUUCAAUUAUGUUCAGUUUUUAUUUGUUGUGGCAAGUAAAACCUUCAACUUAUUUGAAUCUCUCACUCCCACAAGGAUCUCUUUCAAUAAGAUAUUUCAGUUCUUACUA